CCUACGGGUGGCAGCAGUGGGGAAUAUUGGGCAAUGGACGCAAGCCUUACCCAGCAACGCCGCGUGAAGGAAGAAGGCUUUCGGGUUGUAAACUUCUUUUAUGAGGGAAGAGCAGAAGACGGUACCUCUUGAAUAAACCACGGCUAACUACGGUCCAGCAGCCGCGGAAAUACGUAGGUGGCAAGCGUUUUCCGGAUUUACUGGGGGUAAAGGGCGGGCAGCCGGGAAGACAAGUCAGAUGUAAAAUCCCGCGGCUCAACCGAGGAACUGCAUGUGAAACUGUUUUUCUUGAGUACCGGAGAGGUCAUCGGAAUUCCUGGUGUAGCGGUGAAAUGCGUAGAUAUAAGGAAGAACAUCAGUGGCGAAGGCGGAUGACUGGACGGCAACUGACGGUGAGGCGCGAAAGCGUGGGGAGCAAACAGGAUUAGAUACCCUUGUAGUC
This 442-nucleotide ribosomal RNA is filed under the name uncultured bacterium. RNAcentral describes it as "partial 16S ribosomal RNA". It matches the Rfam family "Bacterial small subunit ribosomal RNA", at positions 338 to 795 of the family's 1533-position model. The record is from RNAcentral.